RNAcentral lists this ribosomal RNA (253 nucleotides) under uncultured bacterium. Its description in RNAcentral is "partial 16S ribosomal RNA". It matches the Rfam family "Bacterial small subunit ribosomal RNA", at positions 524 to 776 of the family's 1533-position model. The record is from RNAcentral.
UACGAAGGGGGCGAGCGUUGUUCGGAAUCACUGGGCGUAAAGCGCACGUAGGCGGCUUAGCAAGUCGGAUGUGAAAUCCCUCGGCUCAACCAAGGAAGUGCAUCCGAAACUGCUGAGCUUGAGUACGAAAGAGGAUCGCGGAAUUCCCGGUGUAGAGGUGAAAUUCGUAGAUAUCGGGAGGAACACCAGUGGCGAAGGCGGCGAUCUGGGUCGAUACUGACGCUGAGGUGCGAAAGCGUGGGGAGCAAACAGG